UCGAGAAUAGUCUACAAUGGCCGGAAGGCUGAUAGUGCGACGCCGCGUGAACGAGGGAGCCCUUCGGGGUGUAAAGUUCUUUUCUAUACGAGCAGUGCUAUAUAUAUGGAUAGUAUAUAUAGAGGGAUAGUAGUAUAGGAAUAAGCAACGGCUAACUCCGUGCCAGCAGCCGCGGUAACACGGGGGUUGCGAGCGUUGUCCGGAAUUACUAGGCGUAAAGGGCAGGUAGGCGGAUCUACGAGUUUUUUGUUAAAGGCUACGGCUCAACUGUAGUAGAGCAGGAGAUACUGUAGGUCUGGAAUGCGGUAGGGGAAGACAGAAUUCCUGGUGUAGCGGUGGAAUGCGCAGAGAUCAGGAGGAAUACCGAAGGCGAAGGCAGUCUUCUAGGCCGUAAUUGAC
Molecule: ribosomal RNA, 399 nt
Filed under: uncultured bacterium
Lineage: Bacteria
Description: bacterial SSU rRNA
Rfam family: Bacterial small subunit ribosomal RNA
Source: RNAcentral